RNAcentral lists this non-coding RNA (28 nucleotides) under Mus musculus (house mouse). Lineage: Eukaryota; Metazoa; Chordata; Mammalia; Rodentia; Muridae. The record is from RNAcentral.
UCAUUCUCCAUAAUGAAAUUAAUGUGGC